UAGACACAUAAAAAAUAUUUACGAUAGUUUCGCAUUUUCGAAUAGUAAAUAAAAAUAUCAUGAUGCAGUGGAGUAAAAUAAAUGGUCUGAAAAUUGAUUUUUAAAAACAACAUUCAAACGAAACAUUCAAUGAAACGUUUUACAGAUCUUUUAUUCGAAACUAUCUGUCAUUCUAUCCAUUCCACAUAUUGUGCGCGGGAAAUGAGUAGCAGAGGCAGAAGUCAUGAUGCCCACAAGAUAUGUUAACGACACAGUUGGUUCAUUGUAGUAAUUAGUGAAGAGUGUUGGCCAGAGAGUUGGAGAGAGUGGUCGGAAAGAUGUCAAUGUCGCCGGUAAUGGUUUUGGGAGGAAUUGUACAACCACGUAAAUGCAAUUAUUCCCCAUCAAUACACCCCAGAGCGUGCAUGGUGAUAGGAAUAAAGGAAAUAUUUUAAUUCAAAUUUGUUUUGAACUAGCUAAAUAUUUCGUCUCUUCAAUUACAUGUUUUUGAAAAUAAUGCGUGGAAAU
Molecule: long non-coding RNA, 507 nt
Organism: Magallana angulata
Lineage: Eukaryota; Metazoa; Mollusca; Bivalvia; Ostreida; Ostreidae
Exons: 3
Source: RefSeq, a predicted model, not a curated record